RNAcentral lists this transfer RNA (68 nucleotides) under Crenomytilus grayanus. RNAcentral's name for it is "tRNA-Trp". The record is from RNAcentral. Lineage: Eukaryota; Metazoa; Mollusca; Bivalvia; Mytilida; Mytilidae.
AAGAAAGUAAUUUAAAAUAAAAUUCUUUGUUUCAAACAUAGCUAUAGGUAAAUUUUACCUCUUUCUUG